Bemisia tabaci is the source of this 468-nucleotide non-coding RNA. The record is from RefSeq and is a predicted model, not a curated record. NCBI's taxonomy places the organism in Eukaryota, Metazoa, Arthropoda, Insecta, Hemiptera, Aleyrodidae.
UGAAACCCAUCCGAUAAAAUGGACGGGUCAAUAUACUCUGUGUUCCUGUGUUCACCUUGCAUUGUUAUUUGCCCUACUUUGGAAAAGUCAGUUCUUUCCUAUUCUCUGUUUUGAAAGUCUGAACUUUUUUUUUCAAAUCUUCAGCAUUUUUGUCAGCUGAUAUCGAUUUUUUUUUUUGCAGUACGAAGAAAGAGAGCGUAAACGAGAAGCAGAGGAAAGAAGAAGAUUUCCACUAGAGGAGAGAUUGAAACAACGGAUUGUAGGUCAGGAAGGCCCAAUUAAAAUCAUUGCCUCUGCGGUUCGUAGGAAGGAAAAUGGUUGGUUUGAUGACGAACACCCUUUAGUUUUCUUAUUUUUAGGAUCGUCAGGCAUUGGAAAGACUGAACUCGCAAAGCAGCUUGCUUACUACAUUCACAAAAAUAAACCAGAGGCGUUUAUCCGUCUUGACAUGUCUGAAUACCAGGAAAA